This 253-nucleotide ribosomal RNA is filed under the name uncultured bacterium. RNAcentral's name for it is "partial 16S ribosomal RNA". It matches the Rfam family "Bacterial small subunit ribosomal RNA", at positions 524 to 776 of the family's 1533-position model. The record is from RNAcentral.
UACGUAGGGUCCGAGCGUUGUCCGGAAUUAUUGGGCGUAAAGAGCUCGUAGGCGGUUUGUCGCGUCUGCUGUGAAAUCCCGAGGCUCAACCUCGGGCCUGCAGUGGGUACGGGCAGACUGGAGUGCGGUAGGGGAGAAUGGAAUUCCUGGUGUAACGGUGGAAUGCGCAGAUAUCAGGAGGAACACCGAUGGCGAAGGCAGUUCUCUGGGACGGUACUGACGCUGAGACGCGAAAGCGUGGGGAGCGAACAGG